RNAcentral lists this long non-coding RNA (284 nucleotides) under Gossypium barbadense (sea-island cotton). RNAcentral describes it as "long non-coding RNA (GBAR_LNC012289)". Lineage: Eukaryota; Viridiplantae; Streptophyta; Magnoliopsida; Malvales; Malvaceae. The record is from RNAcentral.
AUGAAACCUCGCAAUCAAGUUUUUGGCGCCGUUGCCGGGGAACUGAAAUAUUAGGAACACUCAAUUUUUAUUACUUUAGCCAUUUAUUUUUCUUGCAAUUUAAUUUUAUUAUUAUUUAUUAACCCACUCUUUCUUUCUCUUAGCAGGUUUUUAUAGUUUAUGACUAGAAGAAACCCAUCGGGACCAUUACUUUUUGACGAAGAAAUCGAUCGUACAGGUCGUAGAAACUAAAAGGAGAUAAGGCAAAGCUUAAGAUAUACGGAGAACGAGCAAGAAGACGAUAC